GACGAACGCUGGCGGCGUGCUUAACACAUGCAAGUCGUACGGUAAGGCCCUUUCGGGGGUACACGAGUGGCGAACGGGUGAGUAACACGUGAGUAACCUGCCCACAACUUUGGGAUAACGCUAGGAAACUGGUGCUAAUACUGGAUAUGUUCUCCUGCUGCAUGGUGGGGGUUGGAAAGCUCCGGCGGUUGUGGAUGGACUCGCGGCCUAUCAGCUUGUUGGUGGGGUAGUGGCCUACCAAGGCGGCGACGGGUAGCCGGCCUGAGAGGGUGACCGGCCACAUUGGGACUGAGAGACGGCCCAGACUCCUACGGGAGGCAGCAGUGGGGAAUAUUGAACAAUGGGCGCAAGCCUGAUGCAGCAACGCCGCGUGCGGGAUGACGGCCUUCGGGUUGUAAACCGCUUUCAGCAGGGACGAAGCUUUUUGUGACGGUACCUGCAGAAGAAGCACCGGCUAACUACGUG
Molecule: ribosomal RNA, 465 nt
Filed under: uncultured bacterium
Lineage: Bacteria
Description: partial 16S ribosomal RNA
Rfam family: Bacterial small subunit ribosomal RNA
Source: RNAcentral